CUGCCCCUGUCAGGGGGACAACCCGCCGAAAGGCGGGCUAAACCCGCGUACAUGCCACCGGGGCAUCCCGGAGGCAGGAAAGGCUUCGGCCGGACAGGGAUGGGCAUGCGGCGCAUUAGGCAGUAGGCGGGGUAACGGCCACCUAACCGACGAUGCGUAGGGGUUCUGAGAGGAAGGUCCCCCACACUGGUACUGAGACACGGACCAGACUCCUACGGGAGGCAGCAGUGAGGAAUAUUGGUCAAUGGUCGGGAGACUGAACCAGCCAAGCCGCGUGAGGGAUGAAGGUACAGAGUAUCGUAAACCUCUUUUGUCAGGGAACAAAGGCGGGGACGUGUCCCCGGAUGAGUGUACCUGAAGAAAAAGCAUCGGCUAACUCCGUGCCAGCAGCCGCGGUAAUACGGAGGAUGCGAGCGUUAUCCGGAUUUAUUGGGUUUAAAGGGUGCGCAGGCGGUCUGUUAAGUCAGCGGUCAAAGCCCGGGGCUCAACCCCGGCCCGCCGUUGAAACUGGCAGUCUCGAGUUGGAGAGAAGUAUGCGGAAUGCGCGGUGUAGCGGUGAAAUGCAUAGAUAUCGCGCAGAACUCCGAUUGCGAAGGCAGCAUGCCGGCUCCACACUGACGCUGAGGCACGAAAGCGUGGGUAUCGAACAGGAUUAGAUACCCUGGUAGUCCACGCAGUAAAC
This 682-nucleotide ribosomal RNA is filed under the name uncultured bacterium. Its description in RNAcentral is "bacterial SSU rRNA". It matches the Rfam family "Bacterial small subunit ribosomal RNA", at positions 126 to 807 of the family's 1533-position model. The record is from RNAcentral.